AUAACCAUUUACCUAUUCUCAACAGGUUAAGAGAAUAGGAAAAGCACUAUCUCCCUCAAUUCAAUUCAACCCUGAUUGUGUACCGGAGCAACAACGAAGGGCAUUUACAUGCAGCGUGGAGAAAGCAAACACCGACUUGAGUCUUACAACGAACAACUAUCGACGCCAUAAUGAGAAUAACGGGAAAUAAAUUUAUAACGAAACAUAUCCUAUAUAGUAGCGUAUUAUCAUAAUGGACGGUAUUAGGAUAUAUAGUCGUAAUGUGAUUGAAAAUACGUUUUUGUCAAUAAGGGUAAACUUUGAUGUAUUCAGUAGAACAACUGAUAUUAUAAAUGUAUUGUAUAAAGUUACGAGUAUAUUGUUAAAUAAGUAUAUUGUUAAAUAAUAAACUAUCAUAACACUAUCAUGAUGUUAUUUCUUUAUAUUUCUUUAUUUUUUCUUUCCCAUUGUGCACUUUCUGCUUUCGCUGUUGCUCUAUUGUGCCUUAUAACCAAACGUUAUUUGGACGAAACUCUUUCAGCGAUAGGACCGUAUUUGUACAUACUUUAUCAUAAAUUUAAUGUAUCUAUUAUUAUUCUGUUAUUAUUGGAGUAUACAAUAAAGAAUACAACUGA
Long non-coding RNA from Melitaea cinxia (Glanville fritillary), 614 nucleotides. RefSeq lists it as uncharacterized. The record is from RefSeq and is a predicted model, not a curated record. The transcript has 2 exons. Lineage: Eukaryota; Metazoa; Arthropoda; Insecta; Lepidoptera; Nymphalidae.